Molecule: RNA transcript, 3812 nt
Organism: Myotis myotis
Lineage: Eukaryota; Metazoa; Chordata; Mammalia; Chiroptera; Vespertilionidae
Gene: NFXL1
Gene name: nuclear transcription factor, X-box binding like 1
Exons: 22
Source: RefSeq, a predicted model, not a curated record
GCGUUCUACGGGCCGUGGCCGUGGGCUUCUGGGAAUUGUAGUCGCUGGGGGCAGACUCGGUCGGUAAGGAGACGUAGACUUCCUUGGGGUCCGCUACCGCAGUUGGCUCCCCACGGGAGCGGCGAGGGAUGGAAGCUUCCUGGCGCCAGGUGGCCGGUGGCCGGGGCCGAGCCCGAGGACGGGCCACUGCGGCCCCCUCCCCAGGAAAUGGACUCCAUCUGCGCGGAGCCGGAGGAGGGCGAGAGGCGGGGUCGGGGGGCGCCGCCGCGCCGGGCCCCAGCCCCCGAGGAGCCGCGAGCGCCGCGGCCGCAGCAGAGCUAAUGGCUCAAAGGAAAUUUGAGGAAAUCAAGAAGGCUAAUCAAGCUGCGGCCAAAAAACUUGUUGAAGAACACUUCAGCUCUUCCUCUGAAGAAGAAGGAGAUGAAGAUUUGGAAGGAAAACAGGGAAAAAUAGUUGCUAAUACGUUUAUAACUUACACUACUCAGACAGAUGGAGAUGUACGUGAAUUAGAGCGAACGAAACAGUAUUUAAAUGAAGCUUUUCAAGCAGGGGCUAUGACAUGCUUAAUUUGUAUUGCUUCAGUGAAGAGAAACCAGGCAGUUUGGAGUUGUUCAGGAUGUUUCUGUAUAUUUCACAUGCCCUGUAUCCAGAAGUGGGCUAAAGACAGCCAGUUUCUGGUAUCUUCUCUGACAGAUGACGAUUUUGGAAGGAGAGAUUAUCCCUGGCCUUGUCCAAAAUGUAGGUUUGAGUACAAACGAUCUGACACACCUAGUAGGUACUAUUGCUAUUGUGGAAAAGUAGAAGAUCCACCUUUAGAUCCGUGGCUUGUGCCUCAUUCAUGUGGCCAAGUGUGUGAAAGAGAAUUUAAACCUCCUUGCGGCCAUAAAUGUUUGCUCCUCUGUCAUCCAGGGCCCUGCCCUCCUUGUCCAAAGAUGGUCACAACUACUUGUUACUGUAAGAAAGCAAAACCCAUCCCUCGUAGAUGCAGUGCCAAGGAAUGGUCCUGUCAGCAGGCAUGUGGGCGGAAGUUGCUUUGUGGACAACAUAAAUGUGAAAAUCCUUGUCAUGCAGGGAGUUGUCCGCCCUGUCCAAGAGUUAGUAGGCAAAAGUGUGUCUGUGGCAAACAAGUAACUGAAAGAAGCUGUGCAAGUCCACUGUGGCACUGUGAUCAAGUAUGUGGGAAAACCUUGCCAUGUGGUAAUCAUACAUGUGAGCAAAUUUGUCAUGUUGGUGCUUGUGGAGAAUGUCCUCGAUCUGGGAAAAGAUUCUGUCCAUGUCAGAAGUCAAAGUUCUCUUUGCCUUGUACAGAAGAUGUGCCAACUUGUGGAGAUAGUUGUGACAAGUUACUUGAAUGUGGAGUCCAUAGAUGUUCACAGCGUUGUCACCGAGGUCCUUGUGAAACAUGUAGACAAGAAGUAGAAAAGCAAUGUCGCUGUGGAAAGCAUACAAAACGAAUGCCAUGUCAUAAACCUUAUCUCUGUGAAACUAAGUGUGUUAAGAUGCGUGACUGUCAGAAGCAUCAGUGUAAGAGAAAGUGUUGUCCUGGAAACUGUACACCUUGUGAUCAAAACUGUGGACGGACUUUAGGAUGUAGAAACCAUAAGUGUCCAUCUGUCUGCCACAGAGGGAGUUGCUAUCCUUGCCCAGAAACUGUAGAUGUGAAGUGCAAUUGCGGUAGUACAAAGGUGACAGUACCCUGUGGCCGAGAACGUACCACAAGACCACCCAAGUGCAAAGAGCUAUGCAGUCGCCCACCAACUUGCCAUCAUACAAGUCAAGAAAAACAUCGCUGUCACUUUGGCUCUUGUCCUCCAUGUCAUCAACCUUGCCAAAAAGUGUUGGAGAAAUGUGGUCACUUGUGUCCUGCUCCAUGUCAUGAUCAAGCAUUAAUAAAGCAAACUGGCAGGCACCAGCCUACAGGCCCUUGGGAACAGCCUUCAGAGCCAGCAUUUAUUCAGGCCGCAUUACCUUGUCCUCCAUGUCAAGUUCCUAUUCCUAUGCAGUGUCUUGGGAAGCACGAGGUGAGUCCACUACCAUGCCAUGCUGUAGGACCCUACUCUUGUAAGAGAGUUUGUGGACGAACCUUAGAUUGUCAGAAUCAUACAUGUAUGAAAGAAUGCCACAAAGUCACUGAAACUGAAGCCUGCAUUGGCAAAAAUAAGGCUGGCCCAGAAUGCCUUCAGUGUGAAGAAGGGUGCUCUAAAUCACGGCCAGUGGGUUGUCCUCAUCCAUGCGUUUUGCCAUGCCACCCUGGAGAAUGUCCUCCUUGUGUUCAGAUGCUUAGAAUAAAAUGUCACUGCAAGAUCACAACCCUAUAUGUGGAAUGUAGAAAAAUAACAACAGCUGAUAUAAAUGAAAAGAACCGCCUCAGUUGUUGCAAAGAUCAGUGUCCUAAAGAGCUUCCUUGUGGUCAUAGGUGCAAAGAGAUGUGCCACCCUGGUGAAUGUCCUUUUAAUUGCAACCAGAAGGUAAAACUUAGAUGUCCUUGUAAAAGAAUUAAAAAGAGAACAAGACUGUUUAUCACUAACAUCAACCAAAAGUGAAGAACUAAAGGGAAAAACCUUCUAAGUAAUAAAAUUUCAUUCUAUAAAGUGCUUUCAUUAAAGUAUAUGCACUUUAUUCAUAGGAAUUGGUGAUCUUAUUUCUUAACUGUGGUAGAUUUGAACUAAAAAACUAGAAUCUAAGAGUGUGAUGCGAGAGGAAAAAUUGAUACAAAUAUUGGUACCCUUAGAGCAAAAGACAUCUGACAGCAAGAAACAGGGAUAAAUAAAAGGUUUGUGAAAGAUCUAUAAAAUCAAAGUCUCAGAGUAUCCUAUAUAAUAAAAGCCUAAUACACUAAGUGUCCGGCCGUCUGGUCAUCUGUUCAACCAAUCAAAGUGUAAUACGCUAAGGAUAUGCUAAGGCCGCUCAACCGCUUACUAUGAUGUGCACUGACCACCAGGGGGUAGAUGCUCCGACUGGAAGGUUAGCUUAUUGCUGGGGUCUGGCAGGGACUGAGCGAGACAGUCUGGACAAGCCCUAGAACCCUCCUGUAGUCUCUCCCCGGCUGGCCAACCCCCCGAGUUCCUCCCUGGCCCCAUUCGUGCACCAGUGGGGUCCCUCGGCCUGGCCUGUGCCCUCUCACAAUCCGGGACCCCUUGGGGGAUGUCAGAGAGCCCGUUUAGGCCCCAUCCCGCAAACCAGUCAGAGGGACCCCACUGGUGCAUGAAUUCGUGCACCGGGCCUCUAGUUUAAAAUAAGGACCACUUAAUUCAUUAUAGCAUAGUACACAAAUUGAUCAUAGUAUUGAUAUCAAGUCAUUAAGAUCCUCCUUUAUUUCAUUAAGGAGGCAGUGAAGUGCAAAUACAAACUGUAGAAAGAUUUUCAUUUAAACUGAACAAAGGUUUACUAGUUUAGAGAAAAAUUUGUAGCUCUUUAGAAAAUUCUAGAAUUACAUUGAGUUGGUAGCCACUAGCCAUAUGUGGCUAUUUAAGUUUGAAUUUUAAUGAAUUAACAGUAAAUAAUAUUAAACGUUCAUGUCCUCCUUUCAUUAGACACAUUUUGAAUGCUCAGUAGCCACACGUGGUUAGUGCUACUCAAUUGGGUAGUUAGUGCAGAUUUAGAAUAUUUCCAGCAUUUCAGAAAGCCGCUGGAUGGACUGCUCUGGAGCAUUUUAUUACCUGGAAGCUUUAUAGAUUAACAAGAAACAAUAAAGAAAAACGGACGUUUCUCAAUAGUUGUACUUAGAAUUUCAGUGCAACAAAGUACGUGAAAAUCAGAUUUCAAUAGAAUGUGACGCAACAUGCAAGGAAAUGAAGCGGAAAGCCUCUGAG